ACCCUAGUGGCCUAAUGGAUAAGGCACUGGCCUUCUAAGCCAGGGGUUGUGGGUUCGAGUCCCAUCUGGGGUG
Molecule: non-coding RNA, 73 nt
Organism: Salmo salar (Atlantic salmon)
Lineage: Eukaryota; Metazoa; Chordata; Actinopteri; Salmoniformes; Salmonidae
Source: Rfam